CAAUAGCGUAUAUUAAAGUUGUUGCAGUUAAAAAGCUCGUAGUUGGACCUUGGACCUGGACAGGCGGUCCGCCUCACGGCGUGUACUGUCUUGCUGGGUCUUUCCUCUUGGUGAUCUGUUGUUUCGGCAGCAGGGAACCAGGACUUUUACUUUGAAAAAAUUAGAGUGUUCAAAGCAGGAUCGACGCCGGAAUAUAUUAGCAUGGAAUAAUAAAAUAGGACGUGCGGUUCUAUUUUGUUGGUUUUUGGAAUCGCCGUAAUGAUUAAUAGGGACAGUCGGGGGCAUUAGUACUCACAUGCUAGAGGUGAAAUUCUUGGAUUUUGUGAAGACUAACUUCUGCGAAAGCAUUUGCCAAGGAUGUUUUCAUUAA
This 370-nucleotide ribosomal RNA is filed under the name uncultured eukaryote. RNAcentral's name for it is "partial 18S ribosomal RNA". It matches the Rfam family "Eukaryotic small subunit ribosomal RNA", at positions 592 to 976 of the family's 1831-position model. The record is from RNAcentral.